UCCGAUCAUCAAUCUUCUUUAAAAAAAACCCUUCUGCGUAUAAAUUCCACACCAUCUUCCACUUAAUCUCAGUAAGAAAAACCUCCCCAUAAUCCCAAGAAAUAUCUUCUAUCACAAACCAUAGAGAGAAGUCAAGAAAAAAAACGAGGCAGCCAGGGUUUAAUCGACGGAGACAAAGAUGGUGACUUGACGAUCUUUCCAGCGGAGUUUUGGCGAGCGGGGUAUAGGGCUCGAAAGCCCUCUGUAUAAGCUUCGUUUUGGUGGAAGUUUCCGGCUUGUUUCUCCGGUGGUGAUAAUUGUGAUCCGACGGCGAAGUUCAGCUGAUCCUAAAACCUUUCGGAUUUAAUUAGAGGUUUUGAGAUCGAGGAACCGUGAUCGACGAGUACUCUUGAUUGGACCAAGGUGAGGGUUCUCUUGCUUGACCUCUUCUGGGAAUAUGAUAAACUCGGGUAAUUGUAUCGCUCUCGAGUACUUGAAUUUUGCUCCCUUUCAUUGAAUUGAUCUACUCGUUGUCAUUUGAUUAUCGUUAUUUGAAAUUGAUUGGAUGAUGUUGAGCUUGAGAUUAUUUGAGAAAUGCUAUCGUAUCGAGUGUUUAACUCUU
Non-coding RNA from Erythranthe guttata (spotted monkey flower), 601 nucleotides. The record is from RefSeq and is a predicted model, not a curated record. Lineage: Eukaryota; Viridiplantae; Streptophyta; Magnoliopsida; Lamiales; Phrymaceae.